RNAcentral lists this ribosomal RNA (305 nucleotides) under uncultured bacterium. RNAcentral describes it as "bacterial SSU rRNA". It matches the Rfam family "Bacterial small subunit ribosomal RNA", at positions 338 to 643 of the family's 1533-position model. The record is from RNAcentral.
CCUACGGGGGGCAGCAGUGGGGAAUAUUGCACAAUGGGGGAAACCCUGAUGCAGCGACGCCGCGUGAGUGAAGAAGUAUUUCGGUAUGUAAAGCUCUAUCAGCAGGGAAGAAACCCACCCUUUGGGGUGGCUGACGGUACCUGACUAAGAAGCCCCGGCUAACUACGUGCCAGCAGCCGCGGUAAUACGUAGGGGGCAAGCGUUAUCCGGAUUUACUGGGUGUAAAGGGAGCGUAGACGGCAUAGCAAGUCUGAAGUGAAAGCCCGUGGCUCAACCGCGGAACUGCUUUGGAAACUGUUAAGCUG